This 484-nucleotide ribosomal RNA is filed under the name uncultured bacterium. RNAcentral's name for it is "partial 16S ribosomal RNA". It matches the Rfam family "Bacterial small subunit ribosomal RNA", at positions 29 to 507 of the family's 1533-position model. The record is from RNAcentral.
AUUGAACGCUGGCGGCAUGCUUUACACAUGCAAGUCGAACGGCAGCGCGGGCUUCGGCCUGGCGGCGAGUGGCGAACGGGUGAGUAAUACAUCGGAACGUGCCCAGUAGUGGGGGAUAGCUCGGCGAAAGCCGGAUUAAUACCGCAUACGACCUGAGGGUGAAAGCGGGGGAUCUUCGGACCUCGCGCUAUUGGAGCGGCCGAUGGCAGAUUAGCUAGUUGGUGGGGUAAAGGCCUACCAAGGCGACGAUCUGUAGCUGGUCUGAGAGGACGACCAGCCACACUGGGACUGAGACACGGCCCAGGCUCCUACGGGAGGCAGCAGUGGGGAAUUUUGGACAAAGGGCGAAAGCCUGAUCCAGCAAUGCCGCGUGUGUGAUGAAGGCCUUCGGGUUGUAAAGCACUUUUGGCGGGAACGAAAAGGACUGUGCCAAUACCACGGUUCGAUGACGGUACCCGCAGAAUAAGCACCGGCUAACUACGUG